CCUACGGGAGGCAGCAGUAGGGAAUAUUGCGCAAUGGGCGAAAGCCUGACGCAGCAACGCCGCGUGCACGAUGAAGGUCUUCGGAUCGUAAAGUGCUUUUAUGAGGGAAGAGAAAGGACUGUACCUCAUGAAUAAGGAUCGGCUAACUACGUGCCAGCAGCCGCGGUAACACGUAGGAUCCAAGCGUUAUCCGGAUUUACUGGGCGUAAAGCGCGUGCAGGUGGUUUGGUAAGUUGGAUGUUAAAUCUCCCGGCUCAACUGGGAGCUGUCGUUCAAAACUGCCAUUCUAGAGGACGGUAGAGGAAGGUGGAAUUCAGGGUGUAGUGGUGAAAUGCGUAGAUAUCCUGAGGAACACCAGUGGCGAAGGCGGCCUUCUGGCCCGCUCCUGACACUAAGACGCGAAAGCUAGGGUAGCGAACGGGAUUAGACACCCCGGUAGCCCUAGCUGUAAACGAUGUGAACUUGGUGUUGGUGGGGUAAAACCCAUCAGUGCCGCAGCAAACGCGAUAAGUUCACCGCCUGGGGACUACGGUCGCAAGAUUAAAACUCAAAGGAAUUGACGG
RNAcentral lists this ribosomal RNA (563 nucleotides) under uncultured Chloroflexota bacterium. Its description in RNAcentral is "bacterial SSU rRNA". It matches the Rfam family "Bacterial small subunit ribosomal RNA", at positions 338 to 916 of the family's 1533-position model. The record is from RNAcentral. Lineage: Bacteria; Bacillati; Chloroflexota.